AUACAUGCUGAAGGCCCCGACUUCGGGAGGGGUGUGUUUAUUAGAUGAAAAACCAUCGCCCUUCGGGGCUCGCUGGUGAAUCAUGAUAACCGCACGAAUCGCAUGGCCUUGCGCCGGCGAUGGUUCAUUCAAAUUUCUGCCCUAUCAACUUUCGAUGGUAGGAUAGUGGCCUACCAUGGUGGCAACGGGUAACGGGGAAUUAGGGUUCUAUUCCGGAGAGGGAGCCUGAGAAACGGCUACCACAUCCAAGGAAGGCAGCAGGCGCGCAAAUUACCCAAUCCCGACACGGGGAGGUAGUGACAAUAAAUACUGAUACAGGGCUCUUAUGGGUCUUGUAAUCGGAAUGGGUACAACUUAAACCCCUUAACGAGGAACAAUUGGAGGGCAAGUCUGGUGAACGCCGCUGGGGGUACACUCGUCCCCGGCGGCCUGCUGACGCCAGCGAAAGCAGGGCCAUGCCGGACAUGGUCGCUAGUCGAGCACCCCCGUGCAGGAUGGGAGGGUGCCGGCGAGACAACCUGGAUCGGGGAACGCUACGGGGCUCCUGCCCUACGCCGAUCCCGAGCAGAGCACCCCUGGGAGGGCAAGCCCCCCAUGUGCCUGUGUAGAGCGCGCCAAGGUGUCGGCUGUGGUCGUCAGACUUCCAGCUUAAGGUACGUGCCAUUCUCACCCGAAAGGGUGCCCGCUGCCGGAGCGCCCAUCACGCAAAGGCUUCGGGGGGGCUGUUCCAGCUCCAGUAGCGACGAGAUGGUCGCUAGAGACAAGGCCAGCAGCCGCGGUAAUUCCAGCUCCAAUAGCGUAUAUUAAAGUUGUUGCAGUUAAAAAGCUCGUAGUUGAACCUUGGGCCUGGCUGGCCGGUCCGCCUCACCGCGUGCACUGGACCGGCCGGGCCUUUCCUCCCGGGGAGCCGCAUGCCCUUCACUGGGCGUGUUGGGGAUCCGGGACGUUUACUUUGAAAAAAUUAGAGUGUUCAAAGCAGGCCUAUGCUCGAAUACAUUAGCAUGGAAUAAUAGAAUAGGACGUGCGGUUCUAUUUUGUUGGUUUCUGGGACCGCCGUAAUGAUUAAUAGGGAUAGUCGGGGGCAUCCGUAUUCAACUGUCAGAGGUGAAAUUCUUGGAUUUGUUGAAGACGAACUACUGCGAAAGCAUUUGCCAAGGAUGUUUUCAUUAAUCAGUGAACGAAAGUUAGGGGAUCGAAGACGAUCAGAUACCGUCGUAGUCUUAACCAUAAACUAUGCCGACUAGGGAUCGGGCGAUGUUAUCUUUUUGACUCGCUCGGCACCUUACGAGAAAUCAAAGUUUUUGGGUUCUGGGGGGAGUAUGGUCGCAAGGCUGAAACUUAAAGAAAUUGACGGAAGGGCACCACCAGGCGUAAACCAUCGGUUCACGCAGCAGCCUCUGCGCCCGAAAGCAGCCCCACUGGGGUCCGGUGGUCGUCCUGGCCAGCAAAGGCCAAACGAAACUGCUAGUUCUUGGCACCGUCCGAGGGCGACGCACCCCAAUUGCGGGAAACUCCUUAACGCACCAGCUACCAAACUAGUUUGCCGAGAGGUGCUAGCGGCCAGGCUAAUCCCCUGGGUAUGGUCAAAAUGC
This 1592-nucleotide ribosomal RNA is filed under the name Watsoniomyces obsoletus. RNAcentral's name for it is "SSU rRNA". It matches the Rfam family "Eukaryotic small subunit ribosomal RNA", at positions 167 to 1613 of the family's 1831-position model. Lineage: Eukaryota; Fungi; Ascomycota; Lichinomycetes; Lichinales; Porocyphaceae. The record is from RNAcentral.